CGGGGGGCAGCAGUGGGGAAUCUUAGACAAUGGGCGCAAGCCUGAUCUAGCCAUGCCGCGUGAUCGAUGAAGGCCUUAGGGUUGUAAAGAUCUUUCGUGGGGGAAGAUAAUGACGGUACCCCAAGAAGAAGCCCCGGCUAACUCCGUGCCAGCAGCCGCGGUAAUACGGAGGGGGCUAGCGUUAUUCGGAAUUACUGGGCGUAAAGCGCACGUAGGCGGAUUGAAAAGUCAGAGGUGAAAUCCCAGAGCUCAACUUUGGAACUGCCUUUGAAACUCUCAGUCUUGAGGUCGAGAGAGGUGAGUGGAAUUCCGAGUGUAGAGGUGAAAUUCGUAGAUAUUCGGAGGAACACCAGUGGCGAAGGCGGCUCACUGGCUCGAUACUGACGCUGAGGUGCGAAAGCGUGGGGAGCAAACAGGAUUAGAUACCCGAGU
This 432-nucleotide ribosomal RNA is filed under the name uncultured Rhodobacter sp. Its description in RNAcentral is "bacterial SSU rRNA". It matches the Rfam family "Bacterial small subunit ribosomal RNA", at positions 342 to 791 of the family's 1533-position model. Lineage: Bacteria; Pseudomonadati; Pseudomonadota; Alphaproteobacteria; Rhodobacterales. The record is from RNAcentral.